UACGAAGGGUGCAAGCGUUAAUCGAAAUUACUGGGCGUAAAGCGCGCGUAGGUGGUUCAGUAAGUUGGAAGUGAAAUCCCCGGGCUCAACCUGGGAACUGCUUUCAAAACUGCUGAGCUAGAGUACGGUAGAGGGUGGUGGAAUUUCCUGUGUAGCGGUGAAAUGCGUAGAUAUAGGAAGGAACACCAGUGGCGAAGGCGACCACCUGGACUGAUACUGACACUGAGGUGCGAAAGCGUGGGGAGCAAACAGG
This 253-nucleotide ribosomal RNA is filed under the name uncultured bacterium. RNAcentral's name for it is "partial 16S ribosomal RNA". It matches the Rfam family "Bacterial small subunit ribosomal RNA", at positions 524 to 776 of the family's 1533-position model. The record is from RNAcentral.